GGGACACGUGGUAUCCUGUCUGAAUAUGGGGGGACCAUCCUCCAAGGCUAAAUACUCCUGACUGACCGAUAGUGAACCAGUACCGUGAGGGAAAGGCGAAAAGAACCCCGGCGAGGGGAGUGAAAAAGAACCUGAAACCGUGUACGUACAAGCAGUGGGAGCACGCUUAGGCGUGUGACUGCGUACCUUUUGUAUAAUGGGUCAGCGACUUAUAUUCUGUAGCAAGGUUAACCGAAUAGGGGAGCCGAAGGGAAACCGAGUCUUAACUGGGCGUUAAGUUGCAGGGUAUAGACCCGAAACCCGGUGAUCUAGCCAUGGGCAGGUUGAAGGUUGGGUAACACUAACUGGAGGACCGAACCGACUAAUGUUGAAAAAUUAGCGGAUGACUUGUGGCUGGGGGUGAAAGGCCAAUCAAACCGGGAGAUAGCUGGUUCUCCCCGAAAGCUAUUUAGGUAGCGCCUCGUGAAUUCAUCUCCGGGGGUAGAGCACUGUUUCGGCAAGGGGGUCAUCCCGACUUACCAACCCGAUGCAAACUGCGAAUACCGGAGAAUGUUAUCACGGGAGACACACGGCGGGUGCUAACGUCCGUCGUGAAGAGGGAAACAACCCAGACCGCCAGCUAAGGUCCCAAAGUCAUGGUUAAGUGGGAAACGAUGUGGGAAGGCCCAGACAGCCAGGAUGUUGGCUUAGAAGCAGCCAUCAUUUAAAGAAAGCGUAAUAGCUCACUGGUCGAGUCGGCCUGCGCGGAAGAUGUAACGGGGCUAAACCAUGCACCGAAGCUGCGGCAGCGACACUAUGUGUUGUUGGGUAGGGGAGCGUUCUGUAAGCCUGUGAAGGUGUGCUGUGAGGCAUGCUGGAGGUAUCAGAAGUGCGAAUGCUGACAUAAGUAACGAUAAAGCGGGUGAAAAGCCCGCUCGCCGGAAGACCAAGGGUUCCUGUCCAACGUUAAUCGGGGCAGGGUGAGUCGACCCCUAAGGCGAGGCCGAAAGGCGUAGUCGAUGGGAAACAGGUUAAUAUUCCUGUACUUGGUGUUACUGCGAAGGGGGGACGGAGAAGGCUAUGUUGGCCGGGCGACGGUUGUCCCGGUUUAAGCGUGUAGGCUGGUUUUCCAGGCAAAUCCGGAAAAUCAAGGCUGAGGCGUGAUGACGAGGCACUACGGUGCUGAAGCAACAAAUGCCCUGCUUCCAGGAAAAGCCUCUAAGCAUCAGGUAACAUCAAAUCGUACCCCAAACCGACACAGGUGGUCAGGUAGAGAAUACCAAGGCGCUUGAGAGAACUCGGGUGAAGGAACUAGGCAAAAUGGUGCCGUAACUUCGGGAGAAGGCACGCUGAUAUGUAGGUGAAGUCCCUCGCGGAUGGAGCUGAAAUCAGUCGAAGAUACCAGCUGGCUGCAACUGUUUAUUAAAAACACAGCACUGUGCAAACACGAAAGUGGACGUAUACGGUGUGACGCCUGCCCGGUGCCGGAAGGUUAAUUGAUGGGGUUAGCGCAAGCGAAGCUCUUGAUCGAAGCCCCGGUAAACGGCGGCCGUAACUAUAACGGUCCUAAGGUAGCGAAAUUCCUUGUCGGGUAAGUUCCGACCUGCACGAAUGGCGUAAUGAUGGCCAGGCUGUCUCCACCCGAGACUCAGUGAAAUUGAACUCGCUGUGAAGAUGCAGUGUACCCGCGGCAAGACGGAAAGACCCCGUGAACCUUUACUAUAGCUUGACACUGAACAUUGAGCCUUGAUGUGUAGGAUAGGUGGGAGGCUUAGAAGUGUGGACGCCAGUCUGCAUGGAGCCGACCUUGAAAUACCACCCUUUAAUGUUUGAUGUUCUAACGUUGACCCGUAAUCCGGGUUGCGGACAGUGUCUGGUGGGUAGUUUGACUGGGGCGGUCUCCUCCUAAAGAGUAACGGAGGAGCACGAAGGUUGGCUAAUCCUGGUCGGACAUCAGGAGGUUAGUGCAAUGGCAUAAGCCAGCUUGACUGCGAGCGUGACGGCGCGAGCAGGUGCGAAAGCAGGUCAUAGUGAUCCGGUGGUUCUGAAUGGAAGGGCCAUCGCUCAACGGAUAAAAGGUACUCCGGGGAUAACAGGCUGAUACCGCCCAAGAGUUCAUAUCGACGGCGGUGUUUGGCACCUCGAUGUCGGCUCAUCACAUCCUGGGGCUGAAGUAGGUCCCAAGGGUAUGGCUGUUCGCCAUUUAAAGUGGUACGCGAGCUGGGUUUAGAACGUCGUGAGACAGUUC
Molecule: ribosomal RNA, 2227 nt
Filed under: Escherichia coli
Lineage: Bacteria; Pseudomonadati; Pseudomonadota; Gammaproteobacteria; Enterobacterales; Enterobacteriaceae
Description: partial 23S ribosomal RNA
Rfam family: Bacterial large subunit ribosomal RNA
Source: RNAcentral